GCGAAAGUCCCCUUCGGGGGACGAGUAGAGUGGCGCACGGGUGAGUAACACGUAGGUAAUCUACCUUCGGAUGGGGAAUAACAAUCGGAAACGGUUGCUAAUACCGCAUAAUGCAGCGGCACCUAAUGGUGACAGUUGUUAAAGCGGGGGAUCGAAAGACCUCGCGUCUGAAGAGGAGCCUGCGGCGGAUUAGCUAGUUGGUAAGGUAAUGGCUUACCAAGGCAACGAUCCGUAACCGGCCUGAGAGGGCGGUCGGUCACACUGACACUGACAUACGGGUCAGACUCCUACGGGAGGCAGCAGUCGGGAAUUUUGGGCAAUGGGCGAAAGCCUGACCCAGCAACGCCGCGUGAAGGAUGAAAUCCCUCGGGAUGUAAACUUCGCAAGAACGGGAAGAAUAAGUAGGGGACAAUACCCCCUAUGAUGACGGUACCGUUUGUAAGCUCCGGCUAACUCCGUGCCAGCAGCCGCGGUAAUACGGGGGGAGCAAGCGUUGUUCGGAUUUACUGGGCGUAAAGGGCGCGUAGGCGGCCAGCGCAAGUCAGUUGUGAAAUCUCCGAGCUUAACUCGGAAAGGUCAACUGAUACUGCGCGGCUAGAGUGCGGAAGGGGCAACUGGAAUUCUUGGUGUAGCGGUGAAAUGCGUAGAUAUCAAGAGGAACACCUGCGGCGAAGGCGGGUUGCUGGGCCGACACUGACGCUGAGGCGCGAAAGCUAGGGGA
Molecule: ribosomal RNA, 721 nt
Filed under: uncultured Acidobacteriota bacterium
Lineage: Bacteria; Pseudomonadati; Acidobacteriota
Description: bacterial SSU rRNA
Rfam family: Bacterial small subunit ribosomal RNA
Source: RNAcentral